GACGAACGCUGGCGGCGUGCUUAACACAUGCAAGUCGAACGGAAAGGCCCUGCUUUUGUGCGGUGCCCGAGUGGCGAACGGGUGAGUAACACGUGAGUAACGUGCCCUUGACUUUGGGAUAACUUCAGGAAACUGGGGUUAAUACCGGAUAGGAGCUCCUGCUGCAUGGUGGGGGUUGGAAAGUUUCGGCGGUUGGGGAUGGACUCGCGGCUUAUCAGCUUGUUGGUGGGGUAGUGGCUUACCAAGGCUUUGACGGGUAGCCGGCCUGAGAGGGUGACCGGCCACAUUGGGACUGAGGUACGGCCCAGACUCCUACGGGAGGCAGCGGUGGGGAAUAUUGCACAAUGGGCGGAAGCCUGAUGCAGCAGCGCCGCGUGCGGGAUGACGGCCUUCGGGUUGUAAACCGCUUUCGCCUGUGACGAAGCGUGAGUGACGGUAAUGGGUAAAGAAGCACCGGCUAACUACGUG
This 468-nucleotide ribosomal RNA is filed under the name uncultured bacterium. RNAcentral describes it as "partial 16S ribosomal RNA". It matches the Rfam family "Bacterial small subunit ribosomal RNA", at positions 28 to 507 of the family's 1533-position model. The record is from RNAcentral.